GCCAGCCCGCUCAAGAAACUACAAAGGAAUUGACGGGACCCCGCACAAGCGGUGGAUCAUGUUGUUUAAUUCGAUGAUACGCGAAGAACCUUACCAGGUCUUGACAUCCCCCGCGAUGCUUUAGAGAUAAAGCGGAGGUAUUCGGGGAGACAGGUGGUGCAUGGUUGUCGUCAGCUCGUGUCGUGAGAUGUUGGGUUAAGUCCCGCAACGAGCGCAACCCCUAUUGCUAGUUACCAUCAUUAAGUUGGGGACUCUAGCGAGACUGCCAGUGAUAAACUGGAGGAAGGUGGGGAUGACGUCAAAUCAUCAUGCCCCUUAUGACCUGGGCUACAAACGUGAUACAAUGGCUGGAACAAAGGGAUGCGAAGCAGUGAUGUGGAGCGAAACCCAUAAAAACAGUCUCAGUUCGGAUUGAAGUCUGCAACUCGACUUCAUGAAGUCGGAAUCGCUAGUAAUCGCGGAUCAGAACGCCGCGGUGAAUACGUUCUCGGGGUUU
This 496-nucleotide ribosomal RNA is filed under the name uncultured Acholeplasma sp. RNAcentral's name for it is "bacterial SSU rRNA". It matches the Rfam family "Bacterial small subunit ribosomal RNA", at positions 903 to 1382 of the family's 1533-position model. The record is from RNAcentral. Lineage: Bacteria; Bacillati; Mycoplasmatota; Mollicutes; Acholeplasmatales; Acholeplasmataceae.